RNAcentral lists this microRNA precursor (52 nucleotides) under Camelus dromedarius (Arabian camel). RNAcentral's name for it is "mir-1302 microRNA precursor family". It matches the Rfam family "mir-1302 microRNA precursor family". The record is from Rfam by way of RNAcentral. RNAcentral also lists the same sequence under 2 other names. Lineage: Eukaryota; Metazoa; Chordata; Mammalia; Artiodactyla; Camelidae.
UUUUUAGUAUAAAUAUGUUCCAGGUGACAUUUGGGACAUACUUAUACUAAAA